Molecule: ribosomal RNA, 222 nt
Filed under: uncultured bacterium
Lineage: Bacteria
Description: partial 16S ribosomal RNA
Rfam family: Bacterial small subunit ribosomal RNA
Source: RNAcentral
CGACGUAAAGAACUUGCCUCACAGCUAGGGACAACAUUUAGAAAUGAAUGCCAAUACCUGAUAUUAUGAUUUUAAGGCAUCUUAGAAUUAUGAAAGCUAUAAGCACUGUGAGAGAGCUUUGCGUCCCAUUAGCUAGUUGGAGAGGUAACAGCUCACCAAGGCGAUGAUGGGUAGCCGGCCUGAGAGGGUGAACGGCCACAAGGGAACUGAGACACGGCCCUU